Microtus oregoni (creeping vole) is the source of this 443-nucleotide long non-coding RNA. RefSeq lists it as uncharacterized. The transcript has 3 exons. NCBI's taxonomy places the organism in Eukaryota, Metazoa, Chordata, Mammalia, Rodentia, Cricetidae. The record is from RefSeq and is a predicted model, not a curated record.
AUGUUCAGCGAGUCCGGUUUUAUCCCAUGCUUUUUCAGACCCAGUCCAGCUGGCCUUGGUAAUAGAAUGUCGACCCACUGUUCCUUUUCUUGAAUAAUUUGCCUGAGUUCAACAUCCAGUCAAUGCUCGGUGAAGUAACAUCCACCUGAAUCUUCUCCUUUAUAACCACUGGGAAAGUCCUGAGCCUUUUCAGCGUCGUAGGAAUGUUGCGUAUUUCUGAUACGGUGUCUGACUGCUGCUCGGCGAGGUAGUAGUUCAAGCCAUAAAGCCGCGCUUACUCUUCCAAUCCUGAGAAGCUCACACUGGAGACCAUUUCUCUUAUCCUAUGGUAUUAUAAAAUCAGUUGCUUUUCUUUUUUUGAUAAAAAUGUAUUUUAUUAAUUCUUUGAGAGUGUCAUAUAUUAUAUUCCAAUAGUAUCCAUUUCCUUCCCUGUCUUCUCCUAG